UGGGGAAUAUUGCACAAUGGGCGAAAGCCUGAAGCAGCGACGCCGCGUGAGGGAUGACGGCCUUCGGGUUGUAAACCUCUUUCAGCAGGGACGAAGCGCAAGUGACGGUACCUGCAGAAGAAGCACCGGCUAACUACGUGCCAGCAGCCGCGGUAAUACGUAGGGUGCAAGCGUUGUCCGGAAUUACUGGGCGUAAAGAGUUCGUAGGCGGUUUGUCGCGUCGUUUGUGAAAACCAGCAGCUCAACUGCUGGCUUGCAGGCGAUACGGGCAGACUUGAGUACUGCAGGGGAGACUGGAAUUCCUGGUGUAGCGGUGAAAUGCGCAGAUAUCAGGAGGAACACCGGUGGCGAAGGCGGGUCUCUGGGCAGUAACUGACGCUGAGGAACGAAAGCGUGGGUAGCGAACAGG
RNAcentral lists this ribosomal RNA (409 nucleotides) under bacterium. RNAcentral describes it as "partial 16S ribosomal RNA". It matches the Rfam family "Bacterial small subunit ribosomal RNA", at positions 355 to 776 of the family's 1533-position model. The record is from RNAcentral.